GUUUAAGGGCAGUUCAAGAAAAACAGACUUGAAAGGACCUGGGAAAUUAGCAUGUCGUUCCAUUGUUCAAAAGUAAUACACAACAGCACUAAAUCAUCUGUAUGACAGGAGAUGCAAAAAAGUAACUUGUCAAUACUGUCAAGAAGAAUAUUUCACGAGAGUUACAGGCAUUGUGUAAAAACAAAGAAUCAACUUUCACAGGAAGCAACAUUUGACGACUUUCUUGGAAGUCAGCCAAUAAAGAGUUGGAAAGUAACUGUCCACUAACACUUGAAAUCCUGAAGAUAGUGGCCGACAGCCUUAAAAAGAAAAAAAGAAACACCAAGAGUGGUUUCCAGUAUUGCAAUUUUACUGUUCAACAGAAACCAUCAGACGAAUGCUGUCCAGUCCAUAUAUAGUGUAUUUAUGUUUAGAGGGCAUGU
Molecule: long non-coding RNA, 422 nt
Filed under: Mytilus galloprovincialis (Mediterranean mussel)
Lineage: Eukaryota; Metazoa; Mollusca; Bivalvia; Mytilida; Mytilidae
Source: RNAcentral